RNAcentral lists this ribosomal RNA (460 nucleotides) under uncultured bacterium. RNAcentral describes it as "partial 16S ribosomal RNA". It matches the Rfam family "Bacterial small subunit ribosomal RNA", at positions 338 to 795 of the family's 1533-position model. The record is from RNAcentral.
CCUACGGGAGGCAGCAGUGAGGAAUAUUGGUCAAUGGGCGCGAGCCUGAACCAGCCAAGUAGCGUGAAGGAUGACUGCCCUACGGGUUGUAAACUUCUUUUAUAAAGGAAUAAAGUGAGGCACGUUUGCCUUAUUGUCUGUACUUUAUGAAUAAGGAUCGGCUAACUCCGUGCCAGGAGCCGAGGUAAUACGGAGGAUCCGUGCGUUAUCCGGAUUUAUUGGGUUUAAGGGGAGCGUAGAUGGGUUGUUAAGUCAGUUGUGAAAGUUGGCGGCUCAACCGUCAAAUUGCAGUUGAUACUGGCAGCCUUGAGUACAGUAGAGGUAGGCGGAAUUCGUGGUGUAGCGGUGAAAUGCUUAGAUAUCACGAAGAACACCGAUGGCGAAGGCAGCCUACUAAACUGCCACUGACAUUGAUGCUCGAAAGUGUGGGUAUCAAACAGGAUUAGAUACCCGAGUAGUC